GCAAGUCGAGCGAACAGAUGAGAAGCUUGCUUCUCUGAUGUUAGCGGCGGACGGGUGAGUAACACGUGGGUAACCUACCUAUAAGACUGGGAUAACUCCGGGAAACCGGGGCUAAUACCGGAUAAUAUAUUGAACCGCAUGGUUCAAUGUUGAAAGACGGUUUCGGCUGUCACUUAUAGAUGGACCCGCGCCGUAUUAGCUAGUUGGUAAGGUAACGGCUUACCAAGGCAACGAUACGUAGCCGACCUGAGAGGGUGAUCGGCCACACUGGAACUGAGACACGGUCCAGACUCCUACGGGAGGCAGCAGUAGGGAAUCUUCCGCAAUGGGCGAAAGCCUGACGGAGCAACGCCGCGUGAGUGAUGAAGGUCUUAGGAUCGUAAAACUCUGUUGUUAGGGAAGAACAAAUUUGUUAGUAACUGAACAAGUCUUGACGGUACCUAACCAGAAAAGCCACGGCAAAGUAGU
RNAcentral lists this ribosomal RNA (468 nucleotides) under Mammaliicoccus lentus. RNAcentral describes it as "bacterial SSU rRNA". It matches the Rfam family "Bacterial small subunit ribosomal RNA", at positions 57 to 505 of the family's 1533-position model. The record is from RNAcentral. Lineage: Bacteria; Bacillati; Bacillota; Bacilli; Caryophanales; Staphylococcaceae.